This 400-nucleotide transfer-messenger RNA is filed under the name Flavobacteriaceae. RNAcentral describes it as "Mesonia sp008017835 Standard tmRNA". It matches the Rfam family "transfer-messenger RNA". Rfam says of the family: Bacterial tmRNA, also known as 10Sa RNA or SsrA, is named for its dual tRNA and mRNA-like properties. Lineage: Bacteria; Pseudomonadati; Bacteroidota; Flavobacteriia; Flavobacteriales. RNAcentral also lists the same sequence under 1 other name. The record is from RNAcentral.
GGGGUCGAUUUGGUUUUGACAGCGAGUCGAAUUGAAUAGUAAGCACGUCGAGCGCCGGAAUAUAGCUCGUAAAUCUCAUGUUUCAGACUUUUUUAAACGGCGAAAAUAAUUACGCCUUGGCUGCAUAAUCUGAAUUAUAGUAAGAUUAGCUUAGUCCCUGUAAGACAGGGAGCCGAGAUGUCUCGUGAGGGCCUUAAUUUACGGCACUUGCAUUUGAGGCACCGAUAAAGUAAAUUUAGGUAUUCUGACGCCUUUAAGGAAUACCGAAAUUGAAAAGGCUAAGGAAAGAUUAGGCGGUUUUCUGCCAGAUUUUUCUCGAAAAUCCAAGUGAAAACUAAGCGUGUAGAAAGCUAUUGAAUUGCUUGUUUGGACGGGAGUUCGAGUCUCCCCGACUCCACUU